GCGGACUACAUAAAACUUAACAGAACAGAUUAUACUAAAGUAACUUAGGAUUUAGUUCAAAUGUGCAUGAUGCAUUGACAUUGAACGCGAUGAUUAUAAAGAAGAUCCGUGAGGCAAUGAAAACGACGUUGUAGAUGAAGAAGCAUCUUGCAUCGAAGACGUAGAAUCUGACGAUGAAUAUUCACGAAUCGUAGCCGUUUCCGUUCCAACAUCGUCGAUGUUUAUUGCAUCCGUCACCAUUUUGGAAUUUUGCAAUGAUGCAGAGUUUGACAGAAGAGAGGACAACAGAUUCACUAAACGAUUGAUGAAUGCAUAUAAGAAUACAUCUUCACACCUUAUGGAGUCAGUUCAACCGAAUUGUAAUUUCAUUUUUCUAACAUUAUAAAUAAGUAUACAGUAUUUACAACUGAUAGAAGAAGACUGUAUUGAAAUUUAAAAGUAUACUUAUUGCUCAUAAAAUAGCCUCAUCAGAAUGAUCCUCAAACGAUCGUUAGCGUAGAUCCACUGCCAGAUUAUAAAUGGCAAAAGAAUGAUCAGAAGCAGCGUGUCCAGCACGUGUAACACAAUCAGCGAUAUGGAUUGCACCACUAUCGAUGUUCUGCGUGAUUCCUGUCUGGAAUAUCAAGCUUUCCCUUAUAUGCUCUUUGAUACUGCUACUGCCCCUGUGGUUCUUAAUGGUUAGUGGUUGGAUCUUGCCGUAAUGCAUGAUGAUGAAGUAAAUGAAACGAAGGUAUGUUUAUUGGACAACGGUGUUUCUAUCGAUGGAAAACGAUUAACACCGUGGGAUUGUGAUUAAUCCGUUUCAUUCUAUAAGAAUUUGUCAAAUUCAGUACAUUGGACAGUAAUGAACGCGAUCGAGCGAAUAAAAAGAUGGAGGAUCAUUAGCUUUUCAUCUGUUUUAUUUUGUAUGGAUGUACAAGGUGGACAGAAAAUGUAGAUAAUCGUUUAUAAGAGGAUGUAUAAAGCACAGUUUUAAUAGUGAGCUGUAAGAUUCAAAGCUCCAGCAGUAAAAGAAUCAACAUUUCAAUGUUAAGAGCUUCAAAACCAAUACUUCAAUGUUAAAAGCCUUAAAAACCAACAUUUCAAUACUGAAAGCUUCAAGAAUCAAUACUUCAAUAUCAAAAAUUUCAAGAACCAGCUCUGCAAUAUAAAAAGCUUCCAAAACCAAUGCUUCAAUAUUAAAAAUUUUAGACAAUAAAAGUUUGGAAAAGCAAACUCUCAAUAUAAAAAAUUUCAAGUUCUACAAAUUAAAACUUGAAAACUGAAAUCUUCAAGAACUUCAAUCUCUCAUGCAAACUGUAAAUUAUCCUGUUAGUGUACACAUCUCUUCUUACCAGGAGUACAGCCCACAUGGUUGCAGAAUGGUUUUCAGAGAUCAGCUUCAAGAACAGUUUCCGUCCCCGGCAAGACUUAGAUCACGUUUGAAGGAAGAGAUUGACCAAGCAUCGGUUAUAUACGCACCACGUUUACGAUCUUCGAGGAUGGCGAUUAUAAACCGCUACCGCACACAUGAUAUGCAGAUUUCCCGUUGAGGGAGAGAGAGGGAAUAGUCUUGUUCCCCGUAAGAAUCUUCUUUACGAAACUUCGUCUCUGGAAAUGAGUCACCUUCACAAGUAUGCUUUGAAAAAGGAGGAAGAGAAAGAUGUUGCUCUUCUUCUUCCUUGAAUAUGUAUUUCCGACGGAAGCUUGAACACCUUGGAUCAGCUCGCGUGAUUUUUCUCUGUCGGUCGCGUGAUAGCGGUAUCGUUUGUGCCUUCCGCAACUUUAUUCUCAUCUUUAAUUAAUUAUCAGAAAUAACAUGUGUAAGCUUUCGGUCCAUUCACGUUGUUAUUAUACUGCAGUAUUAUUGUCAUUUACAAUUUUUCUUUUGCAAGUAACAGAUAUUGUUAAGUUUGUGAUAGUCAAUGAAUAGAGCAUUUUAAAAAUUUAACAUUAUAUAGAAUUUUGGUUAUCAUUUCUGAGGUUAACAGAUCAAGGUGAAGAAUUUCACAGCCGUUUUUCUCAGACCAGUCACGAUGUUCCACAGGUGUUAAAUGUCCACUCAUCAAUUAUUAUUGGAACAUUUGUACACACCCCUGACAUUAACGACUUUAUGUUAAUUGAGGUCGGUGAUUAUGAUCGUUGAAAUACAUUCGUAGAAAACUGGUUUUCUAGGACCAAUUCGUCGAAUAUGGAUUACUGCUUAAUCUGAGACUUUGGUGUAUACAGAUUUUCAGGAAAUAAGAAUGAUAUUCUUCUUCCUGUUGAUUUGGCCACGAGGACAACGGCACUGAAACUGUUUCCUGGCUUGGGGAUGAACCAAUCAUCAUCUGGAAGUAAUGGAUUGCAAUACAGAAGUGGGAAGUAUUGGAAAUUUGAAAGGAAAGUACAUGAAGAGUUAGUGAAGUAUGCAUAUUCACUGGAAAACAGAAUGGACUUCUUCA
This 2423-nucleotide long non-coding RNA is filed under the name Megachile rotundata (alfalfa leafcutting bee). RNAcentral's name for it is "uncharacterized LOC105662160, transcript variant X3". Lineage: Eukaryota; Metazoa; Arthropoda; Insecta; Hymenoptera; Megachilidae. The record is from RNAcentral.